CAUCAUUAUCACCAUCGAACAUGCUGAUUUAAGGUAUCUCCUUGUAAACGGGUUGGGUGUUUCACGGUUUUCUUCAAUAGUUCAGGUAAGUAAUUAAGGGUUUUUGUUUUUGUUUGUUGCAAUUUAACUUGCACUAAAAAUUUUUCACCUAACUUUCCCAAUCCAGGUUUCUUUCUGUCCUGUAGAACGAUCUCGGUCACCUGUAACUCAAGAACACAGGAGAAACCUCAACUAUUUCAGUUUGUUCCAAAUUAAAAGCAGGUCAAGGCAGCACACCAACUUCUCAAGACUAUUCCACAUAGCUAUGGGAGCAGGAGGGUUGAUGGAGUUCCUGUUUUC
Long non-coding RNA from Populus trichocarpa (black cottonwood), 339 nucleotides. RefSeq lists it as uncharacterized. The record is from RefSeq and is a predicted model, not a curated record. NCBI's taxonomy places the organism in Eukaryota, Viridiplantae, Streptophyta, Magnoliopsida, Malpighiales, Salicaceae. The transcript is spliced from 3 exons.